RNAcentral lists this ribosomal RNA (303 nucleotides) under uncultured bacterium. RNAcentral describes it as "partial 16S ribosomal RNA". It matches the Rfam family "Bacterial small subunit ribosomal RNA", at positions 507 to 807 of the family's 1533-position model. The record is from RNAcentral.
AGCAGUAGCCGCGGUAAUACAGAGGGUGCAAGCGUUACUCGGAAUUACUGGGCGUAAAGCGUGCGUAGGUGGUGGUUUAAGUCCGUUGUGAAAGCCCUGGGCUCAACCUGGGAAUUGCAGUGGAUACUGGGUCACUAGAGUGUGGUAGAGGAUAGUGGAAUUUCCGGUGUAGCAGUGAAAUGCGUAGAGAUCGGAAGGAACAUCUGUGGCGAAGGCGACUAUCUGGGCCAACACUGACACUGAGGCACGAAAGCGUGGGGAGCAAACAGGAUUAGAUACCCCCGUAGUCCCUGUCUCUUAUAC